GCUUCCGUGGUCCAAUGGUUAGGAUUCCACCCUUCCAUAUCAAUGAUAGGUGGAGGUUAGUCUAUUUAAUACAAACUUUGUAAUAUACUCAUACUUACAUUUACACUAUCAGGUUCGUGUUCGAUUCACGGCGGUUGCA
Non-coding RNA from Xylogone sp. PMI_703, 139 nucleotides. NCBI's taxonomy places the organism in Eukaryota, Fungi, Ascomycota, Leotiomycetes. The record is from the annotation of a GenBank genome assembly.